AUGUGAAGUAGAGAAGCAAGAUAGAGGGUGCAUCAUCCAUACUUAUGAGUUAGGGGGCAACUUUUAGCAUGAGGACUGGAUGUAUGAAGGAAUGAGAGAAGAGGGAAGGAGAGAGGGAGGGAAUGAGAGAAAAGGAGAAGGAGAGAGGGAGAGAAUGAGAGAAAAGGAGAAGGAGAGAGGGAGAGAAUGAGAGAAGAGGGAAGGAGAGAGGAAGAGAAUGAGAGAAAAUGGGAGGAGAGAGGUAGAGAAUGAGAGAAAAGGAGAAGGAGAGAGGGAGAGAAUGAGUGAAAAGGAGAAGGAGAGAGGGAGAGAAUGAGUGAAAAGGAGAAGAAGAGAGGGAGAGAAUGAGUGAAAAGGAGAAGGAGAGAGAAUGAGUGAAAAGGAGAAGGAGAGAGAAUGAGUGAAAAGGAGAAGAAGAGAGGGAGAGAAUGAGUGAAAAGGAGAAGGAGAGAGGGAGAGAAUGAGUGAAAAGGAGAAGGAGAGAGGGAGAGAAUGAGUGAAAAGGAGAAGGAGAGAGGGAGAGAAUGAGUGAAAAGGAGAAGGAGAGAGGGAGAGAAUGAGUGAAAAGGAGAAGGAGAGAGGGAGAGAAUGAGUGAAAAGGAGAAGGAGAGAGGGAGAGAAUGAGUGAAAAGGAGAAGGAGAGAGGGAGAGAAUGAGUGAAAAGGAGAAGGAGAGAGGGAGAGAAUGAGUGAAAAGGAGAAGGAGAGAGGGAGAGAAUGAGUGAAAAGGAGAAGGAGAGAGGGAGAGAAUGAGUGAAAAGGAGAAGGAGAGAGAAUGAGUGAAAAGGAGAAGGAGAGAGAAUGAGUGAAAAUGGGAGGAGAGGGAAAGAAUGGGUGAAAAGGAGAAGGAGAGAGGGAGAGAAUGAGUGAAAAGGAGAAGGAGAGAGGGAGAGAAUGAGUGAAAAGGAGAAGGAGAGAGGGAGAGAAUGAGUGAAAAGGAGAAGGAGAGAGGGAGAGAAUGAGUGAAAAGGAGAAGGAGAGAGGGGGAGAAUGAGUGAAAAUGGGAGGAGAGGGAAAGAAUGGGUGAAAAGGAGAAGGAGAGAGGGAGAGAAUGAGUGAAAAGGAGAAGGAGAGAGGGAGAGAAUGAGAGAAAAGGAGAAGGAGAGAGGGAGAGAAUGCGUGAAAAGGAGAAGGAGAGAGGGAGAGAAUGAGAGAAAAUGAGAAGAAGAGAGGGAGAGAAUGAGUGAAAAGGAGAAGGAGAGAGAAUGAGUGAAAAUGAGAAGGAGAGAGGGAGAGAAUGAGUGAAAAGGAGAAGGAGAGAGGGAGAGAAUGAGUGAAAAGGAGAAGGAGAGAGGGAGAGAAUGAGAGAAAAGGAGAAGGAGAGAGGGAG
Molecule: long non-coding RNA, 1329 nt
Organism: Oncorhynchus keta (chum salmon)
Lineage: Eukaryota; Metazoa; Chordata; Actinopteri; Salmoniformes; Salmonidae
Exons: 3
Source: RefSeq, a predicted model, not a curated record